AUUGAACGCUGGCGGCAGGCCUAACACAUGCAAGUCGAACGAGUGGCGGACGGGUGAGUAAUGUCUGGGAAACUGCCUGAUGGAGGGGGAUAACUACUGGAAACGGACGCUAAUACCGCAUACUAUCAGAUGAGCCUAGGUCGGAUUAGCUUGUUGGGGGGGUAACGGCUCACAAAGGCGACGAUCCCUAGCUGGUCUGAGAGGAUGACCAGCCAUACUGGAACUGAGACACGGUCCAGACUCCUACGGGAGGCAGCAGUGGGGAAUAUUGCACAAUGGGCGCAAGCCUGAUGCAGCCAUGCCGCGUGUAUGAAGAAGGCCUUCGGGUUGUAAAGUACUUUCAGCGGGGAGGCGUUACCCGCAGAAGAAGCACCGGCUAACUCCGUGCCAGCAGCCGCGGUAAUAC
Molecule: ribosomal RNA, 406 nt
Filed under: uncultured bacterium
Lineage: Bacteria
Description: partial 16S ribosomal RNA
Rfam family: Bacterial small subunit ribosomal RNA
Source: RNAcentral